UACGGAGGGUGCAAACGUUGCUCGGAAUCAUUGGGCGUCAAGCUCCCGUAGGCGGCGCGUUAAGUCGGGUGUGAAAGCCCUGGGCUCAACCCAGGAAGUGCAUUCGAAACUGGCGCGCUUGAAUAUGGAAGAGGGUCGCGGAAUUCCCGGUGUAGAGGUGAAAUUCGUAGAUAUCGGGAGGAACACCAGUGGCGAAGGCGGCGACCUGGGCCAAUAUUGACGCUGAGGUGCGAAAGCGUGGGGAGCGAACAGG
Molecule: ribosomal RNA, 253 nt
Filed under: uncultured bacterium
Lineage: Bacteria
Description: partial 16S ribosomal RNA
Rfam family: Bacterial small subunit ribosomal RNA
Source: RNAcentral